GUGUGGUAUGAAAGGAAAGAAAGUUAGCACUAUCCUUGACAAGGAUGGAAGAGGCCCUUGGGCCUGACAACAUGCAUAUGGAUUAAAAAAUUUA
RNAcentral lists this non-coding RNA (94 nucleotides) under Prolemur simus (greater bamboo lemur). The record is from RNAcentral. Lineage: Eukaryota; Metazoa; Chordata; Mammalia; Primates; Lemuridae.